AGGGCACCACCAGGAGUGGAGCCUGGGGCUUAAUUUGACUCAACACGGAAAAACUCACCCGGGCCGGACACCGUAAGGAUUGACAGACUGAGAGCUCUUUCUUAAUUCGGUGGGUGGGGGUGCAUGGCCGUUCUUAGUUGGUGGAGCGAUUUGUCUGGUUAAUUCCCAUAACCAACGAAACUCUGGCCUACUAACUAGACGUUGGAUCCCUUUGUGGGUCCAUCGCAUCUUCUUAGAGGGACGGGCGGCGUUUAGCCGCACGAGAUUGAGCAAUAACAGGUCUGUGAUGCCCUUAGAUGUUCUGGGCUGCACGCGCGCUACACUGAAAAAAUCAGCGUGUGUUCCCUACCCGAAAGGGUUGGGAAACCCGUUGAACCUCUUUCGUGAUGGGGGAUUGGGGGAUUGCAAUUAUUCCCCCAUGAAACAAGGGAAUUCCCCGUAGGCGGGGGGCAUUAAACCUGCCUCAAUAACUUCCCUGCCCCUUUGUAAAAAAGGCGGUCGUUUUUACGUAGGAGGGAA
RNAcentral lists this ribosomal RNA (519 nucleotides) under uncultured eukaryote. RNAcentral describes it as "partial 18S ribosomal RNA". It matches the Rfam family "Eukaryotic small subunit ribosomal RNA", at positions 1161 to 1664 of the family's 1831-position model. The record is from RNAcentral.